RNAcentral lists this ribosomal RNA (196 nucleotides) under uncultured bacterium. RNAcentral describes it as "partial 16S rRNA". It matches the Rfam family "Bacterial small subunit ribosomal RNA", at positions 338 to 525 of the family's 1533-position model. The record is from RNAcentral.
CCUACGGGAGGCAGCAGUGAGGAAUUUUGGGCAAUGGGCGAAAGCCUGACCCAGCGACGCCGCGUGGGCGAUGAAGGCCUUCGGGUCGUAAAACCCUGUGAGUUGGGAAGAAGCCUUUGCGUGCUAAUACCACGUAGAGGUGACAGUACCAACAGAGGAAGCCCCGGCUAACUACGUGCCAGCAGCCGCGGUAAUA